CUGGCAUUUUCUGCCACCUGCACUGCAUGUUUGUUUCUUGCGUCCAUUUCAGGCAGCCCUCUUUCUUUGAAGAUGGUGGAAACAAACGUUCCUUCUCUAACAAACACUGCUCCUCUCCAUAGUCCAUGAUUCUUCACCUUCCCUGGAUAUCUGUAUGGUGGGCACAUUGGUCACUGACAUCGUUUCCCCUGGAUUGUGUUCUGAGUGUUUGGUGAAGCCUGGAGAAAAACCACCAUUAUCUUUGAAACUCAUCUGGAAGGCUGACAGAUCUUGA
Cyanistes caeruleus (blue tit) is the source of this 274-nucleotide long non-coding RNA. The record is from Ensembl. Lineage: Eukaryota; Metazoa; Chordata; Aves; Passeriformes; Paridae.